This 214-nucleotide unclassified non-coding RNA is filed under the name uncultured fungus. Its description in RNAcentral is "partial contains 18S rRNA, ITS1, 5.8S rRNA, ITS2 and 28S rRNA". The record is from RNAcentral. Lineage: Eukaryota; Fungi.
AAGGAUCAUUACCGAGUGAGGGCCCUCUGGGUCCAACCUCCCACCCGUGUUUAUUUACCUUGUUGCUUCGGCGGGCCCGCCUUAACUGGCCGCCGGGGGGCUCACGCCCCCGGGCCCGCGCCCGCCGAAGACAUCUUGAACGCUGUAUGAAGAUUGCAGUCUGAGCGAAAAGCUAAAUUAAUUAAAACUUUCAACAACGGAUCUCUUGGUUCCG